Molecule: long non-coding RNA, 140 nt
Organism: Oxyura jamaicensis (ruddy duck)
Lineage: Eukaryota; Metazoa; Chordata; Aves; Anseriformes; Anatidae
Exons: 3
Source: RefSeq, a predicted model, not a curated record
UAAGACACCAAUAAAAGCUGCACCAACGAGCUGCAAAAGCAGCAUUAAUGGGCAUUCUGAUUCUUACUGUAGCUGUAAAGUUUGACUUCUUUGUGCUAUUCCCAUAUCAAAUGUAAUGUAUGUAAUAACUUCAUAUGUAA